RNAcentral lists this ribosomal RNA (374 nucleotides) under uncultured Lactobacillus sp. Its description in RNAcentral is "bacterial SSU rRNA". It matches the Rfam family "Bacterial small subunit ribosomal RNA", at positions 771 to 1145 of the family's 1533-position model. The record is from RNAcentral. Lineage: Bacteria; Bacillati; Bacillota; Bacilli; Lactobacillales; Lactobacillaceae.
AACAGGAUUAGAUACCCUGGUAGUCCAUGCCGUAAACGAUGAGUGCUAAGUGUUGGAGGGUUUCCGCCCUUCAGUGCUGCAGCUAACGCAUUAAGCACUCCGCCUGGGGAGUACGACCGCAAGGUUGAAACUCAAAGGAAUUGACGGGGGCCCGCACAAGCGGUGGAGCAUGUGGUUUAAUUCGAUGCUACGCGAAGAACCUUACCAGGUCUUGACAUCUUCUGCCAACCUAAGAGAUUAGGCGUUCCCUUCGGGGACAGAAUGACAGGUGGUGCAUGGUUGUCGUCAGCUCGUGUCGUGAGAUGUUGGGUUAAGUCCCGCAACGAGCGCAACCCUUAUUGUUAGUUGCCAGCAUUUAGUUGGGCACUCUAGCA